CAUUAACUUCAAUUUUUCGCAAAAUAUCGCAAAAUUUUACUAAAAAAAACUAGAGUCGUAUCUCUGGACCUAUACCACUCGUAAACUGGUGAGUGAAGCGCCUGCGCGGGCAUCGAGUUUACGAACGGAACCGAAAAAUUGCGAAGAUCAACGACCGUAACCGAUUCUCUUAGUAACUCGCAAAGCGCUCGAAGCGGGACGCUUUAGUCAUUUUUUAACGCAUUUUUCGCGGUCCCGUUACCUUUCCUUUCGCUCGCGAUCUCUUCCUCUCUUUCAACCGAAAGAAAACGUUUUCACGAAUCUAAGAACAACUAGGUCACGCGCCAUACAUCUAACGACUUUUUAUCCCGCAACGAUGCGUUUCUUUUCAACGACCAUUGCCGAAAGUGAGUAUCGUGCAUAGAACAGUGGAAGAAAGAUGGCGUCGGGCUAUCUGGAAUGGAAUAUACCGAGGAAACGCAAUAUUCUCUAUUGAAAUUAAUACGACGGUAUUGCCUUACGAAGCAAGCGUCCGAUUAUAAAAAUAUAUGCUGUCGCCAUCGAUUACGUAAACGAUGUUUGUAUCGAAGCUUGAUGUAAUCGGGUCGAUUUCGAACAACCCAAUAGACAAAUGAGGAAUGAUCAUUCGUCGGGAUGAGAAUCAGAAAUUGGAAGACUUGUUUCGUUUAUUAUGGGAGAAUUUCUUAUUUCAACGCUGAUAUAUUAUCUUUGAAAAUUUUGAAACAAAACUGAUACCACGGGAAGAAUGGAUGAAUUAAGAUCCGCAAUAGAGGCAACACGAACCGUGUGCCAUAAAUGUUAACAGGAGAACGAUAACUCUUGCCAGAGAAGAAACACCAGAGAGUCGCGAGUAAUUUUCUACGGGUCAUAAAUUUCCUAACACUGGAUAGUUUACUGGCCGUGACUAAAUUCACCUGUAAUCCCCAAAAGUCCAAAGAAGACAACAAAUAAGAAAUGGGAGCGCAACUUGUUAAACUUGAAAAGGUAGGUAAGUGGGGGAAAGAGGGAGAGGAUAAUAAAGCAAACGUCGUCUCUGCGUCGAGUUAAUAAUAAUGGACAGAGUUGAUUGAUUCAAUGAGUACCACUGUUCUCGGUUAAUUAUCGUGACUCUUGUUAUCCCAUUAUCGUCGUUAGAUAGUAUCGGUAGGGAGGAACAACUCCUUUGCGGGUUGCCGACUGUCGGUUUGCAGGAUGCACGCGUUAGCGGCGGCCGUGCAUUCGCUAUCUUACUACUCGCAGGCUGUGAAACUCGUCCUGGCCCGAAUAAUCGCCGUUUCGGACGAUUGCGUAAAUGAGAGACGAUGAUGAGAACGUUACGCGCGCGUAUACGCGACAUUGUUCAAAUUUCCCGCCAAACGUAAUCAUCGUAAAUUAUUCGCGGUUAAUAAUCUUUCUUUUUUUUUUUUGCGCGCGAAAUUAAUUAAGAUAAACAAUAUAACGAAAUAAUAAAGUUUAAAAUAAUGACAAUCUUAUUAUGACAAGCUGUGUGUAAAUAUAAUUUUAUGUAAUUUUAAAUGAUAAAUAUUAUAACGUCGAAAAUUAA
Apis mellifera (honey bee) is the source of this 1543-nucleotide long non-coding RNA. RefSeq lists it as uncharacterized. The record is from RefSeq and is a predicted model, not a curated record. The transcript has 2 exons. NCBI's taxonomy places the organism in Eukaryota, Metazoa, Arthropoda, Insecta, Hymenoptera, Apidae.